UAUGGUGAGGAGCGCUGCAGCGGUUGGUUCCGCGAGGCUCAGCAUAGGCGGGUAUUUGUCACAACGGCGCUCGUUCAUA
This 79-nucleotide non-coding RNA is filed under the name Pseudomonadota bacterium. RNAcentral describes it as "Proteobacteria bacterium SAH sequence". It matches the Rfam family "SAH (S-adenosyl-L-homocysteine) riboswitch aptamer". Lineage: Bacteria; Pseudomonadati; Pseudomonadota. The record is from RNAcentral.